UGUCGAAGCAAGUGCGCAUUCAUAACCUUACGCCUAACACCUCACGCGCAGCAUGGUAAGACGCGCCGGUCCCUCUUCAACGACGAGGUUCUGCGUUUGAAAUGGUCACAGCAGGGUGUGCGAGUCAAUAAAUUCCGUAAAUUUAUCGCCACAGCACAUAAUGUAGCGGCAGUUCCAAGCUACAAAGCGACUGUAUACUACAAAGUUGGUGUGAAAAAAUAAAUUUCGAGUGGUAUA
This is a long non-coding RNA of Ornithodoros turicata, 237 nucleotides long. RefSeq lists it as uncharacterized. The transcript has 2 exons. The record is from RefSeq and is a predicted model, not a curated record. Lineage: Eukaryota; Metazoa; Arthropoda; Arachnida; Ixodida; Argasidae.